Molecule: unclassified non-coding RNA, 1593 nt
Filed under: Leishmania donovani
Lineage: Eukaryota; Euglenozoa; Kinetoplastea; Trypanosomatida; Trypanosomatidae
Description: gene:LdHU3.34.1040(CDS-product:enoyl-[acyl-carrie r-protein]_reductase_putative)
Source: RNAcentral
AAGCGCACAAGCGUGUGUGUGUAUAUAUAUACACACACACAACAUCCGCAAUAUCGUUGACCGCGCAGGCCCCACGCCUACGUCCCCUUGCAAGAAAUCAGCACAUCUCAUUUAGCUCCUCCUCAUUGGCAUCGCUUUCCCUCUUUUCGCAUCGAAUAUACGCAGCCAUAUAUAUAUAUAUGGUAUUCCACUCCAUCUUUGGAUAGGCCUGUCCACCACUGCCUCUCCCCCCCCCAACUUUCACUCUAUACGCCUUCCUGCCGGCAUCUCUCUCUCAGCUUCGCGAGUAUCAGGUGUGUCUCUUUACCUUCUGUUUUUCGUUCCCGGUUGUCAAGUAAUAUCAGCAAUGCAGGCGAAUCGAGUCACAUCGCUCUUUGGGGUGCAGUACCCCAUCGUGCAGGGCGGCAUGGUGUGGUGCAGUGGAUGGCGUCUGGCGUCUGCCGUGAGCAAUGCAGGCGGUCUCGGCCUCGUGGGCGCCGGCUCCAUGAGCUUCGACGUUUUUCAGCACCACGUUCGUCGCUGCAAGGAGGCCGCGAAGAAGCCCUUCGGCGUCAAUGUCCCUCUCAGCCGCGAUAUGGCGCAGUACAUGGACUUCAUCAUCGAGGAGAAAGUGCCGAUCGUGUUCACGAGUGCCGGCAGCCCUAAGCUCUGGACCCAGAAGCUACAGAGCCAUGGCAUUAAGGUGGUGCACGUCGUACCCAGCUGCAAGCUCGCCCUCAAGUGCGAAGCGGCAGGGGUCAACGCCGUCGUAGCUGAGGGGUUCGAGGCCGGUGGUCACAACGGGUUAGAGGAGAUCACCACGAUGGCGCUGGUCCCGCAGGUGCGUAAGGCUCUGGCGCCUGAGGUUCCCCUGCUCGCAGCGGGCGGCAUUGCGAGUGGAGAAGCAAUGCUGGCAGCUAUGGCCCUUGGUGCGGAGGGAGUCCAGGUAGGCACGCGCUUCGCGGUCACACAAGAAAGCUCGGCGGCAGAGGAGUUCAAGAAGAGGUGCACGGCGGCAGGUGAGGGCGACACGUACCUCACACUGAAGCAGUACAUGCCAACUCGUGUCAUGCUGAACGACUACGGCAAAGAGGCCCGCCGCCUCUCUGAAUCUGGCGCCACCAAGGCGCAGCUGAAGGAGUUCCGUGGAAAGGGUCGCACGAAAAAGGGCAUGUUCGACGGUGAUGUGACGAACGGCGAGCUCGAGAUUGGUCAAAUCGUGUCCGCAUGCAAGGACGUUCCGACCGCUGCGGAGGUGGUAGAGCGCAUGGUAAAGGAGUUCCGCACGCGCAACGCGCAGCUCGCCAAGAUGAAUCUGUAGAGCACACGAACGAAGCAGUGCGUCCUCUUCACAAAGUCGCGCGUUGCGAGUCGCACAUACACAGGACGGAAGAAAAGAGAGCCGUGACAGAGAGGCGCACACAGCAAUAUACCAUUGCACACGUGUGCACUACCGCCGCCCUCCUCCCGACCCUCUCUCAUCUUCCCUUUUUCUUUUUUUUUGUGGACAGUUACAUCCCGCGCGCCUUCUUUUCUGUCCUCAUUUCUCUGCAGGUUCCCAUCCCACACGCGCCGCACUUCCUUUCGUCAACAUCACCGCCACCUCAGCAGCUC